GUGCUGUUUGGGUGCUUUCUUUCUUUGAGUGAGGCAGAGAAAGAAGCACCCAGCCAGUGCUUGAACAAAGCGUUGGCUUGGAGCAGCAGAAGGAACAUGCAGCUUGUAUUGCUGAUAGUGGCUACAGAUGUUCCAGUGUAUCAUCCCUGCUACCUUGUCAUGCCUUUGUUUGAAAGAAAAUGAAACAACAUCUUCAAAGUCCACUUGCUCCUGGAAAAUAGAGCCACCAAUCCCUUGGCCAUGGCCAGAGAGAUGGAGAGAUUGAUGGUGCCAAAACAACUUGGGACAGAGAAUCAGUCUUUGGCCUGAAGUUCAAAACUGACAUUUGCAAAAUUGAGCCAUCGAAUAAAACCGAAUGGCAAGAGAUUCA
Long non-coding RNA from Hemicordylus capensis (graceful crag lizard), 370 nucleotides. RefSeq lists it as uncharacterized. Lineage: Eukaryota; Metazoa; Chordata; Lepidosauria; Squamata; Cordylidae. The record is from RefSeq and is a predicted model, not a curated record. The transcript has 3 exons.